Molecule: long non-coding RNA, 595 nt
Filed under: Elaeis guineensis (African oil palm)
Lineage: Eukaryota; Viridiplantae; Streptophyta; Magnoliopsida; Arecales; Arecaceae
Description: long non-coding RNA (EGUI_LNC074993)
Source: RNAcentral
ACAUUCGUAGCUCAUUUCUCACUUCCCAAAAUCCAGGCUAAAACUCUAGGAAACUCACCGAAAACCUUGCACCCACUUUUUUUUCUUUUUUUUUUCUCUUGGAAGGAUAUGGACUUCCUUCUCACACACAAGACUUCCUCAUACCCCAGAAUUUUUCUUCAAAAAAUAUUUUUCCUACACGCCCCACUCUUCUCCUCCUUUUAUAACAACGUCAAACGUCUUAUCCAAAAGAAAGGAUAAAGAUGAGUAAUUACACAUUUGAAUUCAAAUCAAAUUUGAAUUCAAAUGGACACCAACUCAUCCCUUAUCCACUAAAGGCGUAAGGCAUGGCUUAAAUUGUGCAUGGAGUGAUUUCAUGAGAAAUAUUUUUCUCAUGUAAUAAAUGGGAUGUUAAAAAAGGGAUAAGGUGCAAAGAUUGAUUGCCCAUUCAAAUUCAAACUUUAUUUUGAAUUUGAAUGGCCAACCAAUCAUCCUUAUCCAUUCAAUUGGCACAUUAAAGUGGGGCAUGGAGAGGGCUUGACGUGAGAAAAAAAUUCAUGAGAAGUUUCUUCUCAUGAAUUCAAAUGGGUGCAAUGGAAGUGAGGUGGCGCAUGGA